CAAUAUCACACACUAUAAUUAAUUAACUGAAGAGGUGGCCUAUGACCUGCAGGCAUUCUUGUCCUCAAGUCAAAGGAAAGCAGAAGCCCCUCCUUUGCUGCUUCCCCCACCAGAGAGGAGACUUGGGAGUCAGGAUCACUACUGGGUGGAAAUUCUUGGAUUCAAGAAAGGAAGUUGCACAUCAAGAUUAAAUUUGUUUCUAAACCAUUUUUUGCUAGUCAGUGCUUUCUCCUUCCUCCCGCUUCUCAGUAAGCAAGCUGAGAACGCUGAUGUUAAUGCGCCGGCCCCCUUGUCUCCCUGUAAUACCUUGUCUGGGCGCUUAUUGAAGCGCACGUCAUCGUCUUGUAGGAGCUGCUGUGACUUGUUUGUUCCUGGUGUUCAGACAGCGCAGCUGUUGCCUCAGCACGUUGGAGGCGAGUCUCCGAUUGCGCUGGGCCAGGCUCGCUCUGUUUGAUUGCCAGUGUGCUCGCUUCCAUUUGUGCUCAGCUUUUAAAUCGGCCUCUUUGCCAAAACCGACUAGCUCAGCAGUGAGAGAGAAUAGAUCAUGUUGAAAUCGCUUAAGAGAAUCGUACAGGAAGGGAUAAAGUUUCCCAGAAGAUUGGAAAUGGUAUCAGGUAAAAAAUACGAGUUAAUAUUGAGGGCGAUCGUCCAUUACCAGCCUGCUCCCACUUCCCCUUUAAGAGUAAGGAAGUCACUGAUUAUAAUCACCGCCACUUUCGGUCGUGGUUUUCGGUGCUCUUUCUGUCUUAUCUCGUGGAGUCCUCAUCACAUCCGUUGGGCCACCUCUGUACCGUCUGUUCAACCACUAGAGCGGCCCAGAUUGGACAAGAGUCUAGAAGCAUGCAGAUAUGCAUGAAGAUGUUAUGCAGACAGAAGCAGCAGAAGCAGUGAUAAAGGCAUGGUCUCAUGACUCAGUUUGGAAGUUCCAGAUUGAAGAACUGUUGAGGUCAGCAGCAGACUGAUUGAGUCAAGGUGAGUCCUCCUGUUCAGCUUCCAGACACAAAAACAUUAAC
Molecule: long non-coding RNA, 1013 nt
Filed under: Chinchilla lanigera (long-tailed chinchilla)
Lineage: Eukaryota; Metazoa; Chordata; Mammalia; Rodentia; Chinchillidae
Description: lncRNA (ENSCLAG00000026631.1)
Source: RNAcentral